Molecule: non-coding RNA, 275 nt
Organism: Pelobates cultripes (western spadefoot toad)
Lineage: Eukaryota; Metazoa; Chordata; Amphibia; Anura; Pelobatidae
Source: the annotation of a GenBank genome assembly
CCCAUUCAACUGCCCAGUCAUGUGUCUCAUCCCUCCAUGUUUCUGUUAAGCCUAUUAUGGCAUAUUGCUUAGUGUAUGAUAUUGCCUCUAGUUCUCUCAUUUUGUUAUUAAAUUCAGUUCAAACUGAGCUAACCAGAUUCUCCUACACGGGAAUGCAGAAGGAAGGUAGUGGCCACGGGCUCCUGGCUGGAGGACUGAGGUAAAAUGUUUUGACAAAUUACUAUGGAAAAUGCCAGUGAACUCCUGGCACCAGAACCACUACAUCUGCAAGAAAG